Molecule: small nucleolar RNA, 76 nt
Filed under: Arabidopsis thaliana (thale cress)
Lineage: Eukaryota; Viridiplantae; Streptophyta; Magnoliopsida; Brassicales; Brassicaceae
Description: Plant small nucleolar RNA R71
Rfam family: Plant small nucleolar RNA R71
About the family: R71 is a member of the C/D box family of snoRNAs containing the C (UGAUGA) and D (CUGA) box motifs. Multiple nearly identical copies of this snoRNA have been identified in Arabidopsis, and it is thought to function as a 2'-O-ribose methylation guide for 18S ribosomal RNA.
Source: Rfam by way of RNAcentral
AAGCCAUGAUGAGGGCAUUGGUUGGUGUAACCCUUGAAACGCCUUCUUGCAAUCAUCCCAGGUGGUGAUUGAGUCA